RNAcentral lists this ribosomal RNA (459 nucleotides) under uncultured bacterium. RNAcentral's name for it is "SSU rRNA". It matches the Rfam family "Bacterial small subunit ribosomal RNA", at positions 26 to 518 of the family's 1533-position model. The record is from RNAcentral.
AGAAUCAACGCUGGCGGCGUGCCUAACACAUGCAAGUCGCACGAGAAAGGGGAGCAAUCCCUAAGUAAAGUGGCGCACGGGUGAGUAACACGUGAAUCAUCUACCUCCGAGUGGGGAAUAACCUAGAGAAAUCUGGGCUAAUACCGCAUAACACUUACGAGUCAAAGCAGCAAUGCGCUUGGAGAGGAGUUCGCGGCCGAUUAGCUAGUUGGCGGGGUAAUGGCCCACAAGGCGAUGAUCGGUAUCCGGCCUGAGAGGGCGCACGGACACACUGGAACUGAAACACGGUCCAGACUCCUACGGGAGGCAGCAGUGGGGAAUUUUGCGCAAUGGGGGAAACCCUGACGCAGCAACGCCGCGUGGAGGAUGAAGUAUCUUGGUACGUAAACUCCUUUCGAUGGGGAAGAUAAUGACGGUACCCAUAGAAGAAGCCCCGGCUAACUUCGUGCCAGCAGCCGC